UCUUGGAAUACCAGAACAGGAAAAGCAAACAAAUGUAAUGUUUGUGCACCAAUAUGCAUUUGGAACUUAAAUUGAUGUAAAUCUGAGAUGGUUUCGAUUUGUCCUGUUUUCACCACAGCUUAAAUAUUGGCACUUAAAUCCACCAGAGACCAAAUGACACAGAAAUUUACAACUAUAGUUCACUGACGGCCUUCAACAAUGAGCAAAGCCCAAACCACAUAGUCAUCUAUAAAAGGCCCCGAAAUGACAAAUGUAAAACAAUUCAAACGAGAAAACUAAACUAAAAAUGAAUGAGAAACAAACACGUAACACAUCAACAAAAUGGACUGCAAGGGG
This 336-nucleotide long non-coding RNA is filed under the name Mytilus galloprovincialis (Mediterranean mussel). The record is from RNAcentral. Lineage: Eukaryota; Metazoa; Mollusca; Bivalvia; Mytilida; Mytilidae.